GACGGGGGAUGCAAGCGUUAUCCGGAAUCACUGGGCGUAAAGCGUCUGUAGGUGGUGAUGCAAGUCACUGGUGCAAAACUCUGGCUCAACCGGAGGAAAGCCAGAGAAACUGCAUGACUAGAGUGUGGGAGAGGUAGAAGGAAUUCCCUGAGUAGCGGUGAAAUGCGUAGAUACAGUGAAGAACACCGGAGGCGAAAGCGUUCUACUGGAACACAACUGACACUGAGAGACGAAACCUACGCGAGCGAAUGGG
Molecule: ribosomal RNA, 253 nt
Filed under: uncultured bacterium
Lineage: Bacteria
Description: partial 16S ribosomal RNA
Rfam family: Bacterial small subunit ribosomal RNA
Source: RNAcentral